CAGCAAUCCCUGAUCCGCUACCCUUCCUUCAUAUCUCGCCACCGGACGCUUUGGGCUCGCUGCUCCCAUGGCGUCCUCUUUCUUCGUUCGCACUCAAGUAUCGCCCAUGACUCCGCUGCUGCCGGACGCCUCCCAGAGGUCGGCGUCGAUGCCCACUAUGUCCGAGAUCAUGGACGCCUCCCGGACGCAGGGCCUCCGCCUCCGCCUCCAGUCGCUGGGGCCCUUCUUCCGCGUGCGGGCGGAGGCCGAGGGCGGGGCGGAGCUGGGGAGGGCAGAAGGUGUCGUCAGGCCGUGGGUCGGGGGCAAGGUGCUGCACCUGGACUCCAUGAGGCUCAGCCAGGACACGCUCCGCAUGGACCGCUCUAUCUUCGGCUUCGGCCUCUUCAUUGGUGCCGCCGCCGUCCGCCACGGCUUCGACCGAGGUUGCCGCCGGGCCGAGCUCCUCGCCAUAAACGACUCGCCUCUCUUUCAUUCCAAGCUUGUGAGGUUUUACACGAGGAUGGGAUUCAAGGCGGUGCACGAGGUAGAUGGAUCAUCGGUGGGCGAUUUGGCUCACAUGUUGGUGUGGGGAGGUAGAGGGACUAGAAUGGAUGCUGACAUAGAACAGCUUCUUAUUAAAUGGGGCAAAAGAUUUAAGUCCUAAAGGAGCAAUGCACAGUGCACUAUUAUCUGGCUUUGUCAAUCCAAUAUCAGCACUGCUCUUGGUUGACCAAGUAUUAAAACCAUCCUCUGCACCAAGCGCAAUAUUUUGGUUGCCUACAAUGCCAGAAAACUCGAGAAUCAGGGAUUGGUUCAGAGACAUCACUGAAGCAAAACUUGCAUGAUCAUGGAAAAAUUGCACCUCUGAUAGAAAAAAAAAAAAAAAAAAGUCUUGUCUAUUGGUUGCUUCAUCAGUAUUAAAUUAUGGCAGAAACUUUGCUAGCUUUCUAGAGUAAUAUUCAUGUUUCUUGAGAGAAGUGGCAUUCUUUCUAUUAAGAAAAUAUCAAAUAAGUAGUGGACAGUUACAGUGUCAUCAGUUGAUACUCUUCCAUUCAGCAUAAGAUAUAUUUACAAAAUGAAGUUCCUCAACUCCUGAACACAUUAGAUAACCCUGCAUGUAGAAAGCUAAUUUCAUUUUGUAUUUAUGCUCAAAACACAUUAGAACAGGUGUUGCUCCUCGGUUGACUAUAGUUUCAUUGUUGUACUAGAGGAAUCUACUUUAUGAAUGAUUCAAAUUGCAAGAUGGAAAGUAUCUCUUUGAUCAUUCCCUAAAUUGAUCGAUUACAUAUUUUCACAUAAUUGGGGUCCUGUGAGUGUCUCAUCAUAUUAUGCUCCUGUGCAUGCAAUCAAAGAGAUCAGGUGCAGAGAAAAUGGAGAAGGUAGGUGUGUUUCAUGGCACAUUGGAAAGUAAUGUGUAUGUGUGUCGUUGCUCUGAUCAUCACUUUCCUAUUCAUAAUUGUUCAGUUUCCUGUGGUUCCACAGACACCCCUUCAUUGACUUCAUUGAUGCCAUCAUUUUCUGUUUUGAUCUGCCAUAUUUCGGACGUGGGAUUUCAAUAAUGUUAAUAUUAAAGGAGAUAACAGAGCAAUAAAUGUAUUUGUUAUUUUCAAAGGUUUUUCCCCUAUAUCUUUGUGGCAAAAUUAACUGUCUUUAUGCCGUCAUUCACUUGAAGAUUUUAAACCAUUUUCUAAGCUACUCUUCCUGUUCAAAGGUAUAUUUGUGCUUGUGGACAGCUGUGGUAGAGUUGGAAGAUAUAUAUUUCUUUUGUUCAGAAUUAUGAGUCUGCAACUCUGUGUCAACUUAAUCAUCUACUAAUAUUUCUUUUAUUAUUAUAUGGUCAUCUGGACUUUGCCAAAUGCAUCAUGAUGAAGAUAAUCAUGACCGCAGAAAAGUUAGGGUUGAGUUUUCAUUAAAUCGACUCGUUACGUGGAGAGUCGCGAAAUAUAGGGAGGCAUAGUAAUUGUAUUGGUCAAAGACAAAGCAAAGACAAACUUAGAUGAGAUGAUAUAGUAGCUGAAAAGAAUGAACACUCAGUAACAUGACUGAAAUAAGAGAUGAAUCAUCUAUGGAGCUUUUAGUUAUAGAGAAACUUCAAAUAGUUAAUAUGUAUCACUAUAGCUUUGGUGUGAAUAGAGUAAACCUUUAGAGGCAAUCAAGAUUUGGAGAUAGAAGCCAAAAGUUCCUCUAGUGAGGAAAGUGGAAGGUUGUGGAUAGUCAUGCUGUGAGUGAAUGAUAUAUAUUUACAAACCUAUGAAGUCAUAGCAGAAAAACUAGAUGUACUUUUUCUGAUGCAGUAUGGUGUAGUUUUGUGAAGGCAUGUUUGUAAUCUCUGUCGUUUAAAGGAGCAAACAUUAUCACAUUUUAGAUAGAUUUCGAUGACUCCACCUUUUUCUUCUAGUAAAAGAAAAGGGACAGAACAAGAGAACCAGCAGAGCUAGUGAGUUCAUAGUCAUUGACAUGUCAUACGAGUGGGUAGUUGGUGUGCAACAAAAUUUUGCCAGAAAUCUAAAACUCAUAAUCUGUAAUCACUACAAAUCACAGAGUGCACAUUGCCAUUAGGAAACCCUUCUACUUGUCUAACAGCCAAUUGCUACCAUCUACAGCAUGCAACUAAAGAACACUGUAGGCAGUACUUCGUUCUACACUGAGCUCUUCUGGUCGUUGCCUCCUUGCUUUGAUGAAUCAUUAAAUGCGAGUUUAUGACUGAGCCCUUUUUUUCUCCUGUCCUCCUUGAGCUGGUUAAGUCUUAGCUUUUCAUUUACUUUUCCUGAGAACACAGACCAUUGGCUUGCAAAGUUUUGCGUGACUCCCCCUCUGAAGCAAUCUUUCUUUUAGAGCCAUAGGAUUCAUGCAUGUAACACUCAGGUCAAGCUACCCAUUCGAUUGUUCUCCGUUUCUGCUGCUGUUGUGCCUGUGUACCAAUAGUUCUAAGCAGCAAUGUUCCAGUCCUGCUUUGAAUGUGUUAUUAGGGGAUGAAACUAUAUAUAUCAGCGACACCUGUUUACAUACAAGGGGGGUGGAGAACAUCAUCACCCACAUGCUGCUCAGGUCAGUACACCUCGCAAGGAAAGGAAAAUUAACUGCAGGAGCAGGUGGUGGGCACUGAAGAAGUUCUCUGAGGUAGCCAUUCAAGUCCUCCUUGUGAGUCAACUUGACUCUUCUAUAUGCUACGAGUUGCAGUGAACCUUGGAUGCUUGUCAUACUCCUGCCAGUGAUAUAAAGUGGUGGAUGAUCCAUAUAUUAAACCAGUUUUAGCCAGUGACUGGAAUCUGAAGCUGGUGGCACGCCACAAAGCAGCAACAGGAAGCGCCGAGCAAUUCCAAACACAGUGCAGCCGCCUGGCACAGCUGCUGCAUCCGAUAGCACCAGAAGCCUCUCGUUGCUCUGAGACCAUCAGCUUCACCACUUCCAACACCAAGCAUAAGAAACAAGUAAAAGAAGGGGGCAAGCAUUCAUGGACGAGUGACAAGAGAUGGGAAACAAAAGGACAACUCGCAAUUCAUUCCUACAAAGUCACUCGAUGGCUUCUGUCCUCGGGGAUGUGCUGUCUUCCUCCGGACUUUUUUUACUGCACUCGGCCGGCCUUCCUUUCACUUUGAGCUACGUCUUUUACCCCCUUCUCUGCCCAGGUCCUCAAAGCCAUACUUCUAUGAAGCUAGCUAAUAAACCGUACUUUUGUUGCAGAACAUGUCAUGGUCCAUUAGCAUCCGAUUUCCACUCGGAUCAUUGCAACCUUCUUCUCUUGCUGCUUGUCGUCGCAAGAGAGACAGUGCUGCCGGUGCCGGUGUCGGUGGUGCUCUCACAGUUUGCAGGUGAUGUCCCGGAUGAAGCCAGAAACGUCGCUGCUCUCGCCUUCUCCUUGUGUGACUCGAGAACAAUGAGACUGUAGCAGGAGAACACAUACUCCUGUCCACACAAACAUGUUGGUGCAUUAACACAUGAGUCAACUUCUAUUUCCUAAGAAACCAAUAUAUGCAUAGCUUAUAGCUUCA
Molecule: RNA transcript, 3971 nt
Organism: Musa acuminata AAA Group (dessert banana)
Lineage: Eukaryota; Viridiplantae; Streptophyta; Magnoliopsida; Zingiberales; Musaceae
Exons: 4
Source: RefSeq, a predicted model, not a curated record